Molecule: long non-coding RNA, 3038 nt
Organism: Amphibalanus amphitrite
Lineage: Eukaryota; Metazoa; Arthropoda; Thecostraca; Balanomorpha; Balanidae
Exons: 2
Source: RefSeq, a predicted model, not a curated record
CAAAAAAGAUAGCCCGACUCACAGCUACGGAUCGGACGUUGAGCAGAGUGCUGCAGAGUGUGCAGUAUGGUGAUUGGUGUGAAGGUGACGAUGUGCCAAAAUCAUUUACCGACAGGAAACUGGAGCUGUCAGUCACCGCAGGCGUCCUCAUGUGGGGACACCGUGUCAUCAUUCCAGAGAGGGCACAAGGCGAGGUACUGGCCGAGCUACAUGCUGCCCACCCCGGGAUGAGGCGCAUGAAGGCGCUGGCACGAGGCUACGUCUGGUGGCCGGGCAUCGAUGCCGCCAUCGAGGAAGUCGUGCGGAGCUGCCAGCCAUGCCAGGAGAGCCGCCCAGCACCGGACCGCGCACCGCUGAGUAUGUGGCCCUGGCCGGACCGCCCGUGGUCCAGGAUUCACAUUGAUUACGCUGAGCCGAGCUGAUGCUUGGCAGGAGGCUGCGGAGUAAGCUGGACCUUCUACGGCCGAGCAUCCGGGCGACGGUGGUCAAAGGUCAAGUGAGCCAAAAACAAAACCAUGACGGUAAGCGUACGCUUCGCACUUUUGACAUAGAUGACGAGGUUUAUGCAAGAAAUUUCUCAGUGGGUCGUCCUUGGGUACCCGGCUUUAUCUGUGCGAUCGAUGGACCGGUGUCGUAUGUGGUACGAUUAGAAGACGGGAGAUGCUGGAGACGUCACAUCGAUCAACUUCGUGAAAGAGGACGAGAGCCAAAAGAGAUCGAUCUCCAGGUCGAUGAACUGAGACGCCGACCCCUGUCCACAGGAUAUCGUCAGCUACCUGACCUGAGCCGGAGCGGAGAGGUGACACCUGGCGGCGGCGCUGAGGGAGCUCACUCUGGCUGGCUACCGGCUGCCGCCGACGCUGUUUAACGGCCGCCCGCCGCGGCGCUCGUUCGGCCGCCGGCACCUGGUGCUGCCGUUGGGUCGUCUGCCGAGCCGCCUGCUGGGUCGUCUGGCGAGCUGGCUGGUGUUGCUGCUGGGUCGUCAGCUGGGCCGACUCAGCGCGAGGUCUCGAGCGCUGCCGUUCCGUCAUCGCCGCUAUCUGGCCGGGUGCCGCUGUCGCAAUCUCAGCGGACGGCGCCGGCGCCAUUGUCGCGGCCCGAUGACGCGUCUGUUUCUACGGGCAAUCGCAGUGAGCUCGCGCGUCGCUAUCCGGCUCGUGUGCGGAACAAACCAAACUUUUACGUGGGAAAGUAAUGUACGGUAAUUGGGCGUGGUCCAUGCGACGACUGCGCGUGCGCGGGGCCGCGCGGCGGCUGUGCACAGGGCGCGGUGUGCGUGCGCCUGUCUGUUAGACUGUACCGCGGUGUCAUCGUCUGCGCGGGUCAGCCGGCCCGCGCGGCAUUCUGAAAUAGAGUGGCAGACUGAACAGCUGUGUUCCUCUACAGUUGUGCAAGCUCGAUGUCGAAAGUUUUUUUGCAUGUGUCUAAAUGUGUGUAUACUAUAUAGCGUGACGGCAGGCUGACACGUGUGCGCGCGCGUGUAUGCUUGUGUAUAUGUAGAUGCGAGUGUACUGAGGGUGUCGCUGGCGGUUCGACCUCCGCUGUCAGUCCCCACGUGUGUGGUGUGUCAUGGGAUGAUUUCUGACGUCAUCGGUCGGGGUGCGGCGUCUUGGGCUGAUGUGCGGCGUAAUGGGGUGAUGCGCGCUGCCGUCGAGAGUCGCCGUGUGCGGGCGAGAUGACAGUGAUUAGAGAUGAAACGGGAGCCAGCCGCUCCCGUUUCCCUGUGCUGCACCGCUCCCGUGUUGCUGGGCUGCACUGCGGCGCCUCGCGGCUCCAGUGGCUGUAUUCGGGACUCCGCCAGGCCCCAGCGACGGUCUCGCGAACCAUCUGCAACCGAGUGGCACGAUCGUGGACCGGUAUGGACUCCACACUGUAUCGGGCGUCCGCCGUCCUGCGCGUGGGCUGAGCUCGGGCCGUUUGUGUCUGUGUGUGGGUGCGUGAGGCGCGCUCUCCGCGGACGGAGAGACGAAUCUCGUGUCCAAAUGACUGGGUUGACUGGCGUAUCGUAAGUGUAUUAUCGUCAAAGGAUACGAUGAACAAACUAAUUGAUCAUGAUCAAUCACUGAACGUCUUUUCGGGCUUUCUGUGCCCACUGCAGAUUUUGAGUGGCGGGUGAGGGGGAGCAUGCAAGCCAAGCCCAUCCAAUUCCUCUUCCGACUCCCGUCCGUAUUAUACUGGGACUUGGUUUGUAAAUGAUCAGAAAACAGAUAUGGGCAUCACUUGUGCCAUGUUGUAACAUUUUUCAACCCAAAACGCCUAAAAAUAUUCGCGGAACAUAUCCCCGUCAUUACGCUUUACACUGCGGCCCACCGCGCGUCGUGGCUAGGUUUAGUUCAUCUGUUGGCCGCUAGGUGGCCGCGCUGGUCGCUGACAUCAAAGGGGCCGACGCCGAGACUCGCAUCCAUGCUGUCGGGGAGCCGCGACCGUGACGGGAAGCGGCUGGCUCGACUGGCGAACAGCCGUCGCGAUCAUGGUCGUAUGGUCGAUGGCGACGCGGUAAUGGCCGCAGGCGACGCACCGACAGCCGCCGCCGAGGCGGUGCCCGACGCUGAGGAGUAUUCCGAGGAACGACAGCUCCGCUUCGAAGAGUUGUGAAACGCAGAAGGAACUAGGAAGUGGAGCUCAAGAAGGGAGUGUACCCGUGCAUUCUGUUCAUACCGAAUGUUGAUAAGUUACAUGUUUUUUUAUGAAUGAAUUGAUGAAUGAUUUAAUCUUUGCAGAUUAAUUUUGGGAGUUGAUGAUGUUGGCGCCAUAGAAAUCGUAUUUGGUAUGACCGUUUCAUCGACAUAUGAAUAAAUGAAAGUUGCAAUGUAUAUAUUUAGUUGCGAGCUUUCGCCCACAGGCCUUUAUCAAACAUGUAGUAAGAGAUUUGACCUUAUUUUUGGUAUUCGACGUAGACGUUCCAUGUUCAACAGAUCGAUGACUUUCAGAUGUGUUGAAAUGAUCAGCACUUUUCAAUUAUGAGAUGCGUUCUUUGUUCGUCCGAUGUUUGUCAUCGCCCCGUAUCAAAUGUUAUGUUAAUAAAUGGAGGAUGAUGA